RNAcentral lists this ribosomal RNA (253 nucleotides) under uncultured bacterium. RNAcentral's name for it is "partial 16S ribosomal RNA". It matches the Rfam family "Bacterial small subunit ribosomal RNA", at positions 524 to 776 of the family's 1533-position model. The record is from RNAcentral.
UACGUAGGGGGCAAGCGUUGUCCGGAAUCAUUGGGCGUAAAGCGCGUGUAGGCGGCCAGAAAAGUCCGCUGUGAAAACUCGAGGCUCAACUUCGAGCUGUCGGUGGAAACUUUCUGGCUAGAGUCCGGAAGAGGAGAAUGGAAUUCCUGGUGUAGCGGUGAAAUGCGCAGAUAUCAGGAGGAACACCAGUGGCGAAGGCGGUGCUCUGGGCCGGAACUGACGCUGAGGAGCGAAAGCGCGGGGAGCAAACAGG